This 425-nucleotide ribosomal RNA is filed under the name uncultured bacterium. RNAcentral's name for it is "partial 16S ribosomal RNA". It matches the Rfam family "Bacterial small subunit ribosomal RNA", at positions 354 to 796 of the family's 1533-position model. The record is from RNAcentral.
GUGGGGAAUCUUGCGCAAUGGGCGAAAGCCUGACGCAGCCAUGCCGCGUGAAUGAUGAAGGUCUUAGGAUUGUAAAAUUCUUUCACCGGGGACGAUAAUGACGGUACCCGGAGAAGAAGCUCCGGCUAACUUCGUGCCAGCAGCCGCGGUAAUACGAAGGGGGCUAGCGUUGCUCGGAAUUACUGGGCGUAAAGGGCGCGUAGGCGGACAGCUUAGUCAGAGGUGAAAGCCCAGGGCUCAACCUUGGAAUUGCCUUUGAUACUGGGUGUCUUGAGUGUGAGAGAGGUGAGUGGAACUCCGAGUGUAGAGGUGAAAUUCGUAGAUAUUCGGAAGAACACCAGUGGCGAAGGCGACUCACUGGCUCAUUACUGACGCUGAGGCUCGAAAGCGUGGGGAGCAAACAGGAUUAGAAACCCGUGUAGUCC